GACGAACGCUGGCGGCGUGCCUAAUACAUGCAAGUAGAACGCUGAAGAGAGGAGCUUGCUCUUCUUGGAUGAGUCGCGAACGGGUGAGUAACGCGUAGGUAACCUGCCUUGUAGCGGGGGAUAACUAUUGGAAACGAUAGCUAAUACCGCAUAACAAUGGAUGACACAUGUCAUUUAUUUGAAAGGGGCAAUUGCUCCACUACAAGAUGGACCUGCGUUGUAUUAGCUAGUAGGUGAGGUAAUGGCUCACCUAGGCGACGAUACAUAGCCGACCUGAGAGGGUGAUCGGCCACACUGGGACUGAGACACGGCCCAGACUCCUACGGGAGGCAGCAGUAGGGAAUCUUCGGCAAUGGGGGCAACCCUGACCGAGCAACGCCGCGUGAGUGAAGAAGGUUUUCGGAUCGUAAAGCUCUGUUGUAAGUCAAGAACGGGUGUGAGAGUGGAAAGUUCACACUGUGACGGUAGCUUACCAGAAAGGGACGGCUAACUACGUG
This 497-nucleotide ribosomal RNA is filed under the name uncultured bacterium. RNAcentral describes it as "partial 16S ribosomal RNA". It matches the Rfam family "Bacterial small subunit ribosomal RNA", at positions 28 to 507 of the family's 1533-position model. The record is from RNAcentral.